AACGAACGCUGGCGGCAUGCCUAACACAUGCAAGUCGAACGAGACCUUCGGGUCUAGUGGCGCACGGGUGCGUAACGCGUGGGAACCUGCCCUUAGGUUCGGAAUAACUCCCCGAAAGGGGUGCUAAUACCGGAUAAUGUCUUCGGACCAAAGAUUUAUCGCCUUUGGAUGGGCCCGCGUUGGAUUAGCUAGUUGGUAGGGUAAAAGCCUACCAAGGCGACGAUCCAUAGCUGGUCUGAGAGGAUGAUCAGCCACACUGGGACUGAGACACGGCCCAGCCUCCUACGGGAGGCAUCAGUGGGGACAAUUGUACACUGGGCGAAAGCCUGCUCCAGCAAUGCCGCGUGAGUGAUGAAGGCCUUAGGGUUGUAAAGCUCUUUUACCCGGGAUGAUAAUGACAGUACCGGGAGAAUAAGCUCCGGCUAACUCCGUG
RNAcentral lists this ribosomal RNA (433 nucleotides) under uncultured bacterium. RNAcentral's name for it is "partial 16S ribosomal RNA". It matches the Rfam family "Bacterial small subunit ribosomal RNA", at positions 29 to 507 of the family's 1533-position model. The record is from RNAcentral.